UUUGUGCCAGCAGCUGCGGUUAAACAAAAAAUACAAGUAAAUAUUAUAAAUAUAUAAGUUAAAUUGAAUUUAUUUAAUUAAUAAAAAAAAUUUAGGUGAAAUUUUAUUUUUUUUUAAUUAAUAUAAAAAAUUAUAUUGAAUCUUGAAAAUUUUAUUUUUAAACUAGGAUUAGAUACCCUAUUAUUUAAUUAUUUAAAAAUAUAAAUAUUAGAGUAGUAAUAGGUAUGGUCUUGAAACUCAAAAAAUUUGGCGGUAUUUUAGUCUAUUCAGAGGAACCUGUAAUGUAAUCGAUAAUCCACGAUGGAUCUCACUUAAUUUUGUAAUUUAAUUUGUAUAUCGCCGUUAUUUGAAAAUUUUAUAAGAAAAAUAAUUUUCUAAAAUUUUUAUUAAAAAAUAAAUCAGGUCAAGGUGCAGUUUAUGAUUAAGUUUUAUAUGGGUUACAAUAAAUUUAUUUACAUGGAUUAAAAAAUGAAAUAUUUUUAAGAAAGUGGAUUUGAUAGUAAAUUUUUAAAGAUAAAAAAAUUGAUUUUAGCUCUAAAAUAUGUACACAUCGCCCGUCACUCUUKUUAAUAAUAUAAGAUAAGUCGUAACAUAG
Molecule: ribosomal RNA, 595 nt
Filed under: Campsicnemus sinuosus
Lineage: Eukaryota; Metazoa; Arthropoda; Insecta; Diptera; Dolichopodidae
Description: partial 12S ribosomal RNA
Source: RNAcentral